UGUGGAGUAAGGAAGGACCACAGCAGAGUAAAGCAAUGGAGACCGAGGUCUCAGAAACCCUCAGGGAAGUUGGCAUUUUAACUGGUCUUUGAAGACCAGAUGAGGAAACUGAGGCUGAGAGGGUAGAGAACUUUGCCUGAGGUCACUCAGCAGGGACCCACCCAUCACAGUAAAUGCCAGCACUGCUGAUGCCAAAACAAUGUUAUUUGUAGGCCCUCGGAAUUUGUGACCUGAAGGAAGAAGAGCAGGGCCGUGGGAAGUAUGUAACCAGUGUCAUGCCCCUGGUCCCAAGGAAGCAGUGGCUUGGCCUGAACACCCUGUCCUACCUGGUCCUACCUGGAUGCUGGCCUCAGUAAGCUCCUGGGCUCAUUGAAGAUGAACCUAGCAGUAGUAUUUACACCACUUGUUGUGUGCCCACUGUGGGCCCGGCGCCAUGCCGAGUGCUCUAUGGAUGUGAGAGAAACGGAGGCCCAGAAAGCAGAAAUGAUGUGUUAAGAUCACUCAUCAAGCUGAUGGUACAGAGGUUAGAGCCUCUGCUCCCUGCUCUACCUCUUUCCCUUACUCCACAUCCAUGCCUGUCUCUUCCAAUGGGUCGGCAUCCACCCUGACACAUUAAAGCCAAAAGGAACCUUAAGCUAGGGAAGGGGCUCCAGAACUUUAGUGAAAGAUUCAAACAUGUCCACUCAACUCAAUGGAGAAAAUACAAUAUUCAAUCAAUGGUGUUGGGAUGCCUGGAAUAUUGUUGGAGAGGGAUCAUAAAAAUGGAACCAAAACAAUUCCAUUUGGGUCAAAGAUUUAAGUGUCAUAAAGCCAUGUAAAUUCUAUAAGGAAGUAUGGGUAAAUUGAUUUACAUUUUGGAAUAGGAAAGUCUUUCUUUUUUUCCAACUUUUAUUUUAGAUUUGGGGGAUAUAUGUGCAGGUUUGUUAUAAGGCUAUACUGCAGGAUGCUGGGAUUUGGGGUACAAUCAAACCCAUCACCCACAUAGCAUAGUGGGAAGGCUUUUCUAAUCAGGAUGGAAAACCCAGAGUCAUACAGGAAAAGACUAAUACAUUCAACCACAUAAAAAAAUUUUAAACUUCUGUAUGGAAAACCACCAUAGAAAUGUUUUUCCAAUAACUGAGGAAAAUAUGAUAUGGGGAUAUUUCCUUAAUUUGCAAAGAAACUCAUACUAAUUAAUAUGAAAAAACAAUUAUUUUAAUUGCUAAUACUUAAUGAUCAUUUACUAUAUGCUAGACACUAUUUUAAGUAUAUGGAUUAUUUCAUUUAAUUCUCACAGUAAGUAACCCUAUAAGGUAAGUGCUAUUAUUACUAUCUCCAUUUUAUAGAUGAGAACACUGAAGCAGUUUUUUCUAAAGAUAGCUGCCUGGCACAGUGGCUCACAUCUGUAGUCCCAGCAUUUGGGGAGGCCAAGGCAGGUGGAUCACUUGAGGCCAGGAAUUCAAGACCAGCAUGGCCAACAUGGUAAAACCCCAUCCCUACUAAAAAUACAAAAAUUAGCUGGGCGUGGUGGCACCUGUAAUCCCAACUACUCAGGAGGCUGAGGCAGGAGAAUUGCUUGAACCCAGAGGCGGAGGUUGCAGUGAGCCAAGAUCACGCCACUGCACUCCAGCCUGGGCAACAGAGCAAGACUCCGUCUUGGGGAAAAAAAUGCAAAAAUUAGCCAGGCAUGAUAGUGGGCACAUGUAAUCCCAGCUACUUGGGAGGCUGAGGCAGGAGAAUCGCUUGAACCUGGGAGGCAUAGGUUGCAGUGAGCCAAGAUUGCGAUUGCACCACUGCACUCCAGCCUGAGUGACAGAGCAAGACUCCAUCUCAAAAAAAAAAAAAAAGCCAAAGAAUAUAUAUUAGGUUGGUGCAAAAGUAAUUGCAGUUUUUGCCAAUACAAGUAGUUUACAGAAAGAGAAAUAUCAGUGGCCCAUAAACAUGUAGAAAGAUGUUUAAUAGCACUCAUAAUUCAAGAAAUGCAAAAUAAAACUAAAAUUAAACAUCACUUUUUCACCUUUCUGCUUGGCAAAAAUGAAAACAUUUGCCAAUACUCAGGGAUGGUGAGAAAAACUACUUAUAUAACUUAUAUAACUGUUCCUCUGUAGAUUCUGAGUUCUAUCCUAGUAACAGUUCAUGUCACCAAAAAACUACACAUUAGAACCACCUUAGCUUAGCUGCCCAGGAAAAAUGCCUUCAGCCAAGUUCCAUUUUAAUGUUAUACGCUUGGCAUCUCUUGAUGGUUGGCAGAAGAAAUGACCACAUGAAAAGCUGCAUUUUUUUGUCCUGGAAAAACCACCACUAAAGGCAUUGUAAUCUACAUUGAGUAUAUAAGGAAGGGCCCACACAAUAAAUUAUCUGCAGUAUUUACUACCAGGAAAGAUUUACUUUCUCCUGAAGACCUGAUGUGUUAUUUUGCCAUACGAUGGUAAUCAUAUAAACCUCUGUUUCUCGUUUCUCCUUGGCUGCUAAGAAGCUCAAAAAUCACAUCUGAUGAUCCACUCUAGUGACAACAUAGCCAGGGCGAUUGGCAUCUGACUUCUCAACCCAACCUGACCUCAUAUUAGCUUUUUUCUUUUGUCUCCUCUCCCCUUCCAUUAGUUUCUCUUCUUCCACUUGCUGUUUAGUUUUCUAAUUCUAGCUUAACAAAAUUAUUAUAAAUGUGUGUUUUUGGAAGCUAUUUCAAAAUCUUUUGGAAGUAGAUAGGAUAUGUUACAAAUAGUCAAACUCCCUUAGUUUAUAGAUGAGAAAACUCAAGUUCUUUAGAAGUUAAAUGACUUAUUCCAGUGUUAAUCAGCUUAUAUCUGUGUGCACAUGUGACUCUCACUUUAUUGUAAGUGUCUUAGAAUUAUAUUUAUCUCUGAGACUCUGGUGGCCAGCUUUGAGCCAAGUACAUGGUAAAUUGUCAAUGUAUAUAUAUUGGUUGAAAAAAUUCUAAGUGCUGUGAGGAAAGGGACAUUUUUGCAGGGGAUAAGGUCGUAGUAGGUGCUCAUGAGAACUGAAUUCACAACAGGGCGUGGCCUCAGCCUCUGGCCUCACCCCACCACACCCUAGCAUCUCCACCACCCAGGAGUCUCAGGGCUGGGCUUCAUGCAACCCAUCUGCCCUACACCUGCCCGCACUCUGCCUUUGUCUCCACUAUUCCACUUUGGCCCUCUUGCCUUGUCCAGUGAGUUUCCAAAUAUUUCUCUUUUUUUUUGAGACGGAGUCUUGCUCUGUCACCCAGGCUGGAGUGCAGUGUUGCGAUCUCGGCUCACUGCAAGUUCCACCUCCUGGGUUCAAGUGAUUCUCCUGCCUCAGCCUCCAGAGAAGCUGGGACUACAGGUGCCCGCCAUCAUGCCCGGCUAAUUUUUUUUGUAUUUUUAGUAGAGACGGGGGUUUCACUGUGUUAACCAGGAUGGUCUCGAUCUCCUGACCUCGUGAUCUACCCGCCUCAGCCUCCGAAAGUGCUGGGAUUAGAGGUGUGAGCCACCGUACCCAGCUGAGUUUCCAAAUAUUUCUGAUUUCACCAGCGGGGGAAGACUGGCAGGCUCCUAUAUCCUCGAAGUAUCCUGCCAUGAGAUGCCUGCAGAGUGGGGAAUGGCAUCACCUUUCCAACCCUGUGCAGCACCCAGUGCGAGCUGCUUAUUAGUGGGAACUGGAGAGGAAGAGGAGGAAAAGGAGGACCCAUGGCCAUGGCUUUUUCUGUCCUUGUAACCCUCAACUGAUAUGUAUCCCAUACUUCUUGGUUGGGCAGAGGGGAGAGCAGAGGUUGACAGGUCACAUUUCCCUCAGUUUUCCAUCCUUCCUUCAGUGCUGGGAGAGAAAAGCAUACGACAUAGACAGGGAGGUCAAGCUCCACCACGCAGAUGAGGUGCAGGCCACCAGUCUUCCUCUGCCACAUCUCUUUCUGAAAAGGACUUCACAUUCACCCUUGCAAUCCAUGUGGGGACACUGUUGGAUAGGAGGCGUGGUCCCAGCGUGGUCUCCCUGUCUGGGCCUCUGCCUAUGCCAAAUGUUUGCCUUACGCUGCACACUCAAGAGGUUCCAUGUAUACAGAUGGGAAUUCCAGAGCUACAGAAAAGGCAGCAAGCACCAUGAUUUAAGCUAACCAGUGUGGAUUCACACCUUCCUCUCUCUCUAUCAGUGGCAGAACUACCAGCUAGAGUAAGAAGUGGUUGAUCCAGGACCUAAACAUUCUGGAAACUCUUGCCCACUUCUGGGAGAAAUGACCCAAUCCAUAGUACUAAGCACACCUUAACUUUCGUAGGACGCAGGCAAGUUGUCAUACCGUGUGCCUAAAUAUAGAAAAAUGAUCCACUGGACUAAUAAAGUGUUAAAUAAAAUAUGUCCUGACUGUCUACUUUGACAACAUACUUUCAUAAUGACAAAACUUAAAAAUGUAUAAAGCUAUGGUUUUUAUAUAGUUGAAAAUUGACAAAACAGAAGACUAAAUUUACUUAUUAUUGCACAUGAUGGGCGGGCUAUGUUUGGUUGAG
Molecule: long non-coding RNA, 4457 nt
Filed under: Homo sapiens (human)
Lineage: Eukaryota; Metazoa; Chordata; Mammalia; Primates; Hominidae
Description: HSALNT0188820
Source: RNAcentral